AUUUAUAUAGUAUAAUAAAUUACAUUUAACUUCCAAUUAAAAAAUUUAGAUCAUUACUAAUAUAAAUA
This 68-nucleotide transfer RNA is filed under the name Pseudomyrmex elongatus. RNAcentral describes it as "tRNA-Gly". The record is from RNAcentral. Lineage: Eukaryota; Metazoa; Arthropoda; Insecta; Hymenoptera; Formicidae.